This 617-nucleotide ribosomal RNA is filed under the name Pseudozyma sp. RNAcentral describes it as "partial large subunit ribosomal RNA". It matches the Rfam family "Eukaryotic large subunit ribosomal RNA", at positions 67 to 666 of the family's 3401-position model. Lineage: Eukaryota; Fungi; Basidiomycota; Ustilaginomycetes; Ustilaginales; Ustilaginaceae. The record is from RNAcentral.
UAAGGGGAUUCCCCUAGUACGGCGAGUGAAGAGGGAAGAGCCCAAGAUUGAAAGCUGGCGUCUUCGGCGUCCGCAUUGAGUCUCAAGAAGUGUUUUCCGCUUCGGACCAUGCCUAAGUCCCUUGGAAAAGGGCAUCAUAGAGGGUGAUAAUCCCGUACAUGGCAUGGAGCGCCCGAAGCUUUGUGAUACGCUUUCUAAGAGUCGAGUUGUUUGGGAAUGCAGCUCAAAAUGGGUGGUAAAUGCCAUCUAAGGCUAAAUAUUGGGGAGAGACCGAUAGCGAACAAGUACAGUGAUGGAAAGAUGAAAAGAACUUUGAAAAGAGAGUUAAACAGUACGUGAAAUUGCCAAAAGGGAAGGGUAGGAGGUCAGAGAUGCGGCCUGGGAUUCAGCCUUGCUUUUGCUUGGUGUUUUUCCCAGAUUGCAGGCCAACGUCGGUUUUGGGCACUGGAGAAGGGUAGGAGGAACGUGGCACCUCUCGGGGUGUGUUAUAGCCUCCUACUGGAUACAGCGACCGAGACCGAGGACAGCAGCGUACUCGCAAGAGCGGGCCUUCGGGCACCUUUACGCUUAGGGCGUUGGCAUAAUGGCCCUCUACCACCCGUCUUGAAAACACGGAC